CUGAUUUUUAUAAUGACUGGAUGUUCAUUGCUAAACAUCUGCCUGAUCUCAUAGAGUCUGGCCAACUUCGAGAAAGAGUUGAGAAGUUAAACAUGCUCAGCAUUGAUCAUCUCACAGACCACAAGUCACAGCGCCUUGCACGUCUAGUUCUGGGAUGCAUCACCAUGGCAUAUGUGUGGGGCAAAGGUCAUGGAGAUGUCCGUAAGGUCUUGCCAAGAAAUAUUGCUGUUCCUUACUGCCAACUCUCCAAGAAACUGGAACUGCCUCCUAUUCUGGUUUAUGCAGACUGUGUCUUGGCGAACUGGAAGAAAAAGGAUCCUAAUAAGCCCCUGACUUAUGAGAACAUGGACGUUUUGUUCUCAUUUCGUGAUGGAGACUGCAGUAAAGGAUUCUUCCUGGUCUCUCUAUUGGUGGAAAUAGCAGCUGCUUCUGCAAUCAAAGUACGUCUAUCCUCACUUCAAAAUGUGUAUGUCAAUUUACGUAAGCAGAGCAAUCACUUCGGAGCCUAAACUAUACUAAGCAUGAGUUAACUUUAUCCUUAACAAGUACAACAUGGGACCAUUUAAUUGGGGGUAAAGGAUCAAUUAUUUAUUUUUGUGUAUUACCUAAAAUAUAAAAUCUCAGAGCCAUAUACUUAAAAUACAACUUGAAACCUCUGUAGGAAAUAAAAAUUUUCAAUAAAAUCUGGCUUUGGAACUAU
This 700-nucleotide small RNA is filed under the name Pongo abelii (Sumatran orangutan). RNAcentral describes it as "retained intron". Lineage: Eukaryota; Metazoa; Chordata; Mammalia; Primates; Hominidae. The record is from RNAcentral.